AGGGUUUGAUCAUGGCUCAGGAUGAACGCUGGCGGCGUGCUUAACACAUGCAAGUCGAACGAACCUUCGGGUUAGUGGCGGACGGGUGAGUAACGCGUGAGAAUCUGCCCUCAGGAGGGGGAUAACGGUUGGAAACGACCGCUAAUACCCCAUAUGCCUACUGGUGAAACGAAUUUCGCCUGAGGAUGAGCUCGCGUCUGAUUAGCUAGUUGGUGAGGUAAUGGCUCACCAAGGCUUCGAUCAGUAGCUGGUCUGAGAGGAUGAUCAGCCACACUGGGACUGAGACACGGCCCAGACUCCUACGGGAGGCAGCAGUGGGGAAUUUUCCGCAAUGGGCGAAAGCCUGACGGAGCAACGCCGCGUGAGGGACGAAGGCCUCUGGGCUGUAAACCUCUUUUCUCAAGGAAGAAGAUAUGACGGUACUUGAGGAAUAAGCCACGGCUAAUUCCGUGCCAGCAGCCGCGGUAAUACGGGAGUGGCAAGCGUUAUCCGGAAUUAUUGGGCGUAAAGCGUCCGCAGGCGGCUUUUCAAGUCUGCUGUUAAAGCGUGGAGCUUAACUCCAUCAUGGCAGUGGAAACUGAAAGGCUUGAGUAUGGUAGGGGCAGAGGGAAUUCCCGGUGUAGCGGUGAAAUGCGUAGAUAUCGGGAAGAACACCAGUGGCGAAGGCGCUCUGCUGGGCCAUUACUGACGCUCAUGGACGAAAGCCAGGGGAGCGAAAGGGAUUAGAUACCCCUGUAGUCCUGGCCGUAAACGAUGAACACUAGGUGUCGGGGGAAUCGACCCCUUCGGUGUCGUAGCUAACGCGUUAAGUGUUCCGCCUGGGGAGUACGCACGCAAGUGUGAAACUCAAAGGAAUUGACGGGGGCCCGCACAAGCGGUGGAGUAUGUGGUUUAAUUCGAUGCAACGCGAAGAACCUUACCAGGGUUUGACAUCCUGCGAACCUCUUAGAAAUUUGAGGGUGCCUUCGGGAAUGCAGUGACAGGUGGUGCAUGGCUGUCGUCAGCUCGUGUCGUGAGAUGUUGGGUUAAGUCCCGCAACGAGCGCAACCCACGUUUUUAGUUGCCAGCAUUUAGUUGGGCACUCUAGAAAGACCGCCGGUGAUAAACCGGAGGAAGGUGUGGAUGACGUCAAGUCAUCAUGCCCCUUACACCCUGGGCUACACACGUACUACAAUGCUACGGACAAAGGGCAGCAAACUCGCGAGAGCUAGCAAAUCCCAUAAACCGUGGCUCAGUUCAGAUCGUAGGCUGCAACUCGCCUACGUGAAGUAGGAAUCGCUAGUAAUCGCAGGUCAGCAUACUGCGGUGAAUACGUUCCCGGGCCUUGUACACACCGCCCGUCACACCAUGGAAGUUGGCCAUGCCCGAAGUCGUUACUCCAACCCUUGUGGAGGAGGACGCCGAAGGUGGGGCUAAUGACUGGGGUGAAGUCGUAACAAGGUAGCCGUA
RNAcentral lists this ribosomal RNA (1449 nucleotides) under uncultured bacterium. Its description in RNAcentral is "bacterial SSU rRNA". It matches the Rfam family "Bacterial small subunit ribosomal RNA". The record is from RNAcentral.